UGGGGAAUAUUGGACAAUGGGCGAAAGCCUGAUCCAGCGACGCCGCGUGAAGGAAGAAGUCCUUCGGGAUGUAAACUUCUGAACUAAUCGAAUAAAAGGGUAGUGGACACACUACAGAAGAAGGUAGAUUAGGAAAAGUCCCGGCUAACUACGUGCCAGCAGCCGCGGUAAGACGUAGGGGGCGAGCGUUGCCCGGAAUCACUGGGUGUAAAGGGGACGUAGGCGGAUGAUCAAGUCAUCUGUGAAAAGAUUGCUCAACGAUUGGCUUGCGGAUGAAACUGGUCAUCUUGGGCGUAGCAGAGGUAGACGGAAUUACCUGAGUAGGGGUGAAAUCCGCAGAUACAGGUAAGAACGCCGGUGAAGAAGUUGGUCUACUAGGCUACAGCUGACGCUGAGGUCCGAAAGCCAGGGGAGCGAACC
RNAcentral lists this ribosomal RNA (420 nucleotides) under Petrotoga sp. enrichment culture. RNAcentral describes it as "bacterial SSU rRNA". It matches the Rfam family "Bacterial small subunit ribosomal RNA", at positions 355 to 774 of the family's 1533-position model. The record is from RNAcentral. Lineage: Bacteria; Thermotogati; Thermotogota; Thermotogae; Petrotogales; Petrotogaceae.